Molecule: ribosomal RNA, 772 nt
Filed under: actinobacterium i2(2010)
Lineage: Bacteria; Bacillati; Actinomycetota; Actinomycetes
Description: bacterial SSU rRNA
Rfam family: Bacterial small subunit ribosomal RNA
Source: RNAcentral
CGCCGCGUGAGGGACGACGGCCUUCGGGUUGUAAACCUCUUUUAGUAGGGAAGAAGGGCUUCGGUCUGACGGUACCUGCAGAAAAAGCACCGGCUAACUACGUGCCAGCAGCCGCGGUAAUACGUAGGGUGCAAGCGUUAUCCGGAAUUAUUGGGCGUAAAGAGCUCGUAGGCGGUUUGUCGCGUCUGCUGUGAAAACUGGAGGCUCAACCUCCAGCCUGCAGUGGGUACGGGCAGACUAGAGUGCGGUAGGGGAGAUUGGAAUUCCUGGUGUAGCGGUGGAAUGCGCAGAUAUCAGGAGGAACACCGAUGGCGAAGGCAGAUCUCUGGGCCGUAACUGACGCUGAGGAGCGAAAGCAUGGGGAGCGAACAGGAUUAGAUACCCUGGUAGUCCAUGCCGUAAACGUUGGGAACUAGAUGUAGGGACCAUUCCACGGUUUCUGUGUCGCAGCUAACGCAUUAAGUUCCCCGCCUGGGGAGUACGGCCGCAAGGCUAAAACUCAAAGGAAUUGACGGGGGCCCGCACAAGCGGCGGAGCAUGCGGAUUAAUUCGAUGCAACGCGAAGAACCUUACCAAGACUUGACAUAUACGAGAACGGGCUAGAAAUAGUUCACUCUUUGGACACUCGUAAACAGGUGGUGCAUGGUUGUCGUCAGCUCGUGUCGUGAGAUGUUGGGUUAAGUCCCGCAACGAGCGCAACCCUCGUUCUUUGUUGCCAGCACGUAAUGGUGGGAACUCAAAGGAGACUGCCGGGGUCAACUCGGAGGAAGGU